AUUAGCUCAGUUGGUCAGAGCAUGGUGCUAUUAAUACCAAGGAUGUUGGUUCUAUCCCCACAU
This 63-nucleotide transfer RNA is filed under the name Taeniopygia guttata (zebra finch). It matches the Rfam family "tRNA", at positions 6 to 65 of the family's 71-position model. Rfam says of the family: Transfer RNA (tRNA) molecules are approximately 80 nucleotides in length. Lineage: Eukaryota; Metazoa; Chordata; Aves; Passeriformes; Estrildidae. The record is from Rfam by way of RNAcentral.